This 312-nucleotide long non-coding RNA is filed under the name Homo sapiens (human). Its description in RNAcentral is "HSALNT0217727". The record is from RNAcentral. Lineage: Eukaryota; Metazoa; Chordata; Mammalia; Primates; Hominidae.
UAAGAAAAUUAUGUGAUUGGAACUGUGUUUUAAGGAGAUGAAUUUGGCUGUUUUGUGCAAGAUGGGUUGGCUGGAAAUCAGAGACCAGUGAGGAAGCUAUUGUGGAAGGAGAUGUGUAAUGAAGGCAUCAAAUGCAAGGAAAGGAUGGACACAGAAUGGACCAGGAGUCAUCUAAAUAGAUACCAAAAAAUUAGGAAUUACAGCAAACAGGAAGAGCUGAUGAGACCAAUGAUCACUUCUCAUAACUCGGUGGAAAGAGGAAUUUGGCACGAGGGAUGAUGGAUUAACCACCUGUCUCAUGAAGGGAGGUAU